CACGUAGGGGGCAAGCGUUGUCCGGAUUUAUUGGGCGUAAAGAGCGUGUAGGCGGCCAGACAGGUCCGUUGUGAAAACUCGAGGCUCAACCUCGAGACGCCGAUGGAAACCGUCUGGCUAGAGUCCGGAAGAGGAGAGUGGAAUUCCUGGUGUAGCGGUGAAAUGCGCAGAUAUCAGGAAGAACACCCGUGGCUAAGGCGGCUCUCUAGUACGGUACUGACGCUGAGACGCGAAAGCGUGGGGAGCGAACAGG
RNAcentral lists this ribosomal RNA (253 nucleotides) under uncultured bacterium. RNAcentral's name for it is "partial 16S ribosomal RNA". It matches the Rfam family "Bacterial small subunit ribosomal RNA", at positions 524 to 776 of the family's 1533-position model. The record is from RNAcentral.